AGAGUUUGAUCAUGGCUCAGGAUGAACGCUAGCUACAGGCUUAACACAUGCAAGUCGAGGGGAAACGAUAUUGGAAGCUUGCUUCCGAUAGGCGUCGACCGGCGCACGGGUGAGUAACGCGUAUCCAACCUGCCCAUCACUUGGGAAUAACCUUGCGAAAGUAAGACUAAUGCCCAAUGACAUUUAUAGAAGGCAUCUGAAAUGAAUUAAAGAUUUAUCGGUGAUGGAUGGGGAUGCGUCUGAUUAGCUUGUUGGCGGGGUAACGGCCCACCAAGGCGACGAUCAGUAGGGGUUCUGAGAGGAAGGUCCCCCACAUUGGAACUGAGACACGGUCCAAACUCCUACGGGAGGCAGCAGUGAGGAAUAUUGGUCAAUGGGCGAGAGCCUGAACCAGCCAAGUAGCGUGCAGGAUGACGGCCCUAUGGGUUGUAAACUGCUUUUAUAGGGGAAUAAAGUGAGCCACGUGUGGUUUUUUGCAUGUACCCUAUGAAUAAGGACCGGCUAAUUCCGUGCCAGCAGCCGCGGUAAUACGGAAGGUCCGGGCGUUAUCCGGAUUUAUUGGGUUUAAAGGGAGCGUAGGCCGGAGAUUAAGCGUGUUGUGAAAUGUAGAUGCUCAACAUCUGCACUGCAGCGCGAACUGGUUUCCUUGAGUACGCAUAAAGUGGGCGGAAUUCGUGGUGUAGCGGUGAAAUGCUUAGAUAUCACGAAGAACUCCGAUUGCGAAGGCAGCUCACUGGGGCGCAACUGACGCUGAAGCUCGAAAGCGCGGGUAUCGAACAGGAUUAGAUACCCUGGUAGUCCGCGCGGUAAACGAUGGAUGCCCGCUGUUGGGCCAACUGGUUCAGCGGCCAAGCGAAAGCAUUAAGCAUCCCACCUGGGGAGUACGCCGGCAACGGUGAAACUCAAAGGAAUUGACGGGGGCCCGCACGAGCGGAGGAACAUGUGGUUUAAUUCGAUGAUACGCGAGGAACCUUACCCGGGCUUGAAUUGCAGAGGAAGGAUUUGGAGACAAUGACGCCCUUCGGGGCCUCUGUGAAGGUGCUGCAUGGUUGUCGUCAGCUCGUGCCGUGAGGUGUCGGCUUAAGUGCCAUAACGAGCGCAACCCCUCUCCAUAGUUGCCAUCAGGUGAAGCUGGGCACUCUGUGGACACUGCCACCGUAAGGUGCGAGGAAGGUGGGGAUGACGUCAAAUCAGCACGGCCCUUACGUCCGGGGCUACACACGUG
This 1225-nucleotide ribosomal RNA is filed under the name metagenome. RNAcentral's name for it is "bacterial SSU rRNA". It matches the Rfam family "Bacterial small subunit ribosomal RNA", at positions 8 to 1224 of the family's 1533-position model. The record is from RNAcentral.